Non-coding RNA from Paramuricea clavata, 560 nucleotides. NCBI's taxonomy places the organism in Eukaryota, Metazoa, Cnidaria, Anthozoa, Malacalcyonacea, Plexauridae. The record is from the annotation of a GenBank genome assembly.
ACUAAAACGCUGUUUUCUGACCAUUAGAAUUCUGUCAAAUCUUCCCCAAAGUCCAGGAAAUGGCAUUUCAGAGACUCUGAGUUUAAAAAUUUCCUUGGGCCUUCGGCGGCCCUCGCUUUCAGCCCCCGCCCCCAAUCGAAAAGAGCUUCCUACGGCCCUGAUAUAUGCUCCUGUCGCAGUGUGGAUUGGUGCAUUGUGUAGCCCAAUACAUGCAUUUGAAUUGUGUUACUGCAGAGCAGAUGCCUUAGCUUUUAUACCUAUACAAUUUAAAAGUUUUGAGAAAAAAAUCCUGCAUAGAUGAAUGAGUACAUAAAAAUAUUGAGCACCAAAAAUUCACACAACUUCCCCAUCAGAUAUCAAAUGGUCUACCCCUUACCACAUAUAUCCUAGGGGGCCAAUUUUGUAUAUUUUUGUGUUAUUUGCAUCUCCAAAACUCCUACUUUUCUCCUACUUUUCUACACAUUUUCCUACUUUAUUCCUACUUUUCCUAAAUUGCUAGUCCUACUUUUGUCCUACUUUUCUAUACAAGGAUGCCAGAAAGCCUGUAUAAACAUCACCCC